Molecule: long non-coding RNA, 1032 nt
Organism: Mercenaria mercenaria
Lineage: Eukaryota; Metazoa; Mollusca; Bivalvia; Venerida; Veneridae
Exons: 2
Source: RefSeq, a predicted model, not a curated record
AUGCACGAUGGCCGUAUGACCACGCUUUUUUUUGGAUGGUAAGAAACGUGUACUUUGUGUCUUAAGACACAUUAAACUAUGGCAACUGGCUGUAAUCUCGCGUGAUCUCGUGUCAGAGCGUGAAUCGGCGUAAUCUUAGUAAAAACAAACAUCGGCGAGCAUAGAGUUACAAUUUGUACAUUUAAAACUACAUUUAGAAUACAUGUUAGCUUCUAAAACAACAUUAGUUUAAUGUGAAAUAGUCUUAAGACACAAAGUACACGUUUCUUACCAUCAAACAAGAAAUAUCAUUAAAAUUGAUGGUCGGCGAAUUGUAAUAAGGAAAGAAGUUUAUCAGGGGUGGUAUAGUACGUCAUCAACAGGUGCGCGCAACACUUCCCGAUGCGGCUUUUUUAUGUCAAAACAUCUCGAUUCGAUCACAACAGAAACACCGGAGAUGUUCUGUUUAUCAGAAUUAAAUUAUGAAGCUAAACAUUUGGGGUUUAGCAGUAUGAUAUCCGUAGACAGAUGAACAUAAACUGCAUAUAGUAAUUCAUGCAUUUUUUGGGAAUAAAAUGGCACGUAAAAAAACAGAACUGUAGAAAGAACAAUACCCGCUUGUUGUGGAUGUUUGUGAAAAAAGUCAGAAAUGAAGACCACAAAAGUAGUCGUUGUUUGAGGCUCACUCACGGGCAAUAUGUGCAGACACCGUUUAAAACAGCUCACUGUUACGUGUGACCACUACCGUACAAUAAUUAGCCAUGGACAGCUUUUGUCGACGGAAUUUAAUGUGAUUUUGCGUGACUUCAAACAAUUGUGAUUUUUUAUUGAAACGUGUUUUGUUUUGUCUGUCUGUGGUGAAGUCACAGAGUCUUGUCAGUGCCUCUCCUUUCUUCUAAAUCACAUUUGACAGAUUUUGAUGAAAGGCAACAGCAGUAUUAAACUUUGUAUGAAAUGUAGUUGACACUAAUGCUCAUAACGGGUAAAACAUAACAAUGUAAAUAUUCUUGUUAUCUCUAUGUUUCGGUCAAUAAACGUUCACAGAUUAUACUA